GAUGAACGCUGGCGGCGUGCUUAACACAUGCAAGUCGAACGGAACUACUCCAAUGAGAGUCUUCGGAAAGGAUUUGGUUUAGUUUAGUGGCGGACGGGUGAGUAACGCGUGGGUAACCUGCCCUAUACAGGGGGAUAACAGUUGGAAGCGACUGUUAAUACCGCAUAAGCGCACAGGAGCGCAUGCUCCGGUGUGAAAAACUCCGGUGGUAUAGGAUGGACCCGCGUCUGAUUAGCUGGUUGGCGGGGUAACGGCCCACCAAGGCGACGAUCAGUAGCCGGCCUGAGAGGGUGAACGGCCACAUUGGGACUGAGACACGGCCCAAACUCCUACGGGAGGCAGCAGUGGGGAAUAUUGCACAAUGGGGGAAACCCUGAUGCAGCGACGCCGCGUGAGCGAAGAAGUAUCUCGGUAUGUAAAGCUCUAUCAGCAGGGAAGAAAAUGACGGUACCUGACUAAGAAGCCCCGGCUAACUACGUG
This 480-nucleotide ribosomal RNA is filed under the name uncultured bacterium. RNAcentral describes it as "partial 16S ribosomal RNA". It matches the Rfam family "Bacterial small subunit ribosomal RNA", at positions 28 to 507 of the family's 1533-position model. The record is from RNAcentral.